CGAUGCUUAUCAGAUUGUUGGUGGGUUAAUGGCUCACCAAGGCGACGACUGGUAGCCGGCAUGAGAGGGUGACCGGCCACAAUGUGACUGAGACACGGCCCAGACUCGUCCGGGAGGCAGCAGUGGGGAAUAUUGCACAAUGGGCGGAAGCCUGAUGCAGGGACGCCGCGUGAGGGAUGACGGCCUUCGGGUUGUAAACCUCUUUCAGCAGGGAAGAAGCCACAAGUGACGGUACCUGCAGAAGAAGAGCCGGCUAAAUACGUGCCAGCAGCCGCGGUAAUAUGUAGGGCGCAAGCGUUGUCUGGAAUUAUUGGGCGUAAAGAGCUCGUAGGCGGUUUGUCGCGUAUUCUGUGAAAGCCUGGGGCUCAACCCCGGGUAUGCAGUGGGUACGGGCAGCAUAGAGUGCAGUAGGGGAGACUGGAAUUCCUGGUGUAGCGGUGAAAUGAGCAGAUAUCAGGAGGAACACCGAUGGCGAAGGCAGGUAUGUGGGCUGUUACGGUCGGUGAGGAGCGAAAGCAUGGGGAGCGAACAGGAUUAGAUACCCUGGUAGUCCAUGCCGUAAACGUUGGGCACUAGGUGUGGGGGACAUUCCACGUUCUCCGCGCGGUAGCUAACGCAUUAAGUGCCCCGCCUGGGGAGUACGG
This 644-nucleotide ribosomal RNA is filed under the name uncultured bacterium. Its description in RNAcentral is "bacterial SSU rRNA". It matches the Rfam family "Bacterial small subunit ribosomal RNA", at positions 232 to 885 of the family's 1533-position model. The record is from RNAcentral.